This 478-nucleotide ribosomal RNA is filed under the name uncultured bacterium. RNAcentral describes it as "bacterial SSU rRNA". It matches the Rfam family "Bacterial small subunit ribosomal RNA", at positions 355 to 848 of the family's 1533-position model. The record is from RNAcentral.
UGGGGAAUCUUGGACAAUGGGGGCAACCCUGAUCCAGCCAUGCCGCGUGAGUGAUGAAGGCCUUAGGGUCGUAAAGCUCUUUCGCCUGUGAAGAUAAUGACGGUAGCAGGUAAAGAAACCCCGGCUAACUCCGUGCCAGCAGCCGCGGUAAUACGGAGGGGGUUAGCGUUGUUCGGAAUUACUGGGCGUAAAGCGCACGUAGGCGGACCAGAAAGUUGGGGGUGAAAUCCCGGGGGCUCAACCCCGGAACUGCCUCCAAAACUAUUGGUCUAGAGUUCGAGAGAGGUGAGUGGAAUUCCAAGUGUAGAGGUGAAAUUCGUAGAUAUUUGGAGGAACACCAGUGGCGAAGGCGGCUCACUGGCUCGAUACUGACGCUGAGGUGCGAAAGUGUGGGGAGCAAACAGGAUUAGAUACCCUGGGUAGUCCACACCGUAAAACGAUGAAUGCCAGUCGUCGGGUAGCAUGCUAUUCGGUGACA